UGUUUGGAGCAUAAAUGCAGUCCCAUUUUAGAUCGCUCUUUAUCGCAGGUGUGCAACGCGUGGAUGCGAUUCCUUGUCAUGGACCUAUGAUGCCCAAGUUCGUGCCGCGAUUCCUGGGUGUGGAAACACUACCCACAGCGAGCACGCCUAGCUGCACAUCUGCAGCCUGGUGAAUAUCUGCUUGGAGACGCAGGGUAUCCCCUCGAGUCAUGGCUCCUAAUUCUAGUCCCUGGCAGUCAACCACGCAACACCUCCGAAGGCCGAUACUUAGGGAGCAUGUAUUCAUGCGCAAUGUUGUGGAAAGAUGUAUCGGAGUAUUGAAGAGCAAAUUCCGCUGCUUGCAGCACUUUGGAACGAUGCUUUACAACCCAAUCGAGCAGCGCAAAUCAUCUAUGCUUGCGUUGCUCUUCACAAAAUUGCGUUGCAUGCGGGCGACUGGACCUUGGACGAGUAUGUUGUGGACAUGUCACCAGCUCAGGAUGAGGAGCCAGAGGCGAACCAUACGCUCACACCAUGCAACAUGCUGCUCAGAAGACAGCAGCAGUGCAGGGCUGUCAUGGGCCUUUCUUGAAGUACACAGGAACGGCCCUCAGCUAUGGCCCGUGCCAAGGACGGGACCACCUGCAGGAUUCCCUCUUGCGCCAAUGCCACCUUCUCCUGUGUUGUUGCCAUAAGCCGUGCUGCAGAAGCGAUGUGGGUGGUCGAUGUUUUCAUCCCUCGCAGCACCUGUGAAGAAUCAUCAUGGUGGAAAUGUUUAGGUGAGCUGCCGGUGAACUCUUAACCAUCUCGUGGCGGGAAGCUGCUGCUGCCGAGAAUUAAACGGUCACAACAAUUUCCCCUCAAUUGAAUCUCCGCUGGCCUGAUGGAAUCCUUUGGAAGUAUGAAGCUCCGUGUACAAUAUGCCCUUUUCAUGCGGACCAACAAAUAUUUGCUGGAACUACUCUUCAUGUAUCUCUCCAAUUGCAUCUCUCACCAUCAAACAGCCCUUUUUAACGCCCAGCAAUUUACCAUUGCAGAUAUGCGAUAUCGUUUCCUCAAUACAAUGCAUGGUUCUUAUUUAGAGCCCAAGUUGGUUUCAGUCAUCAUAAUAGAGCAUGAAGAAUGUUUACGCCCUUUAUGUAAAAUGUAAAGAAAGAGUCUACUUACUCUGAGCACCUUGUCGCCCUGCUCAAGGCUCUGGUCCUGCAAUCAAUAAA
Molecule: long non-coding RNA, 1196 nt
Organism: Rhipicephalus microplus (southern cattle tick)
Lineage: Eukaryota; Metazoa; Arthropoda; Arachnida; Ixodida; Ixodidae
Source: RefSeq, a predicted model, not a curated record